AGCUCCAAUAGCGUAUAUUAAAGUUGCUGCAGUUAAAAAGCUCGUAGUUGCAUUUCCGAGGCAAGGGAUUAGUCCGACCUUUGGUGGGUAUUUAAUCCUCUUGCCUCGUCCUUGAGUGGUGCUUCUUGGUAUUAAGUUAUCGAGGAGAUAGCCGCUCAUCGUUUACUGUGAGAAAAUUAGAGUGUUCAAAGCAGGCUUAUGCCGUUGAAUAUAUUAGCAUGGAAUAAUAAGAUAGGACCUCGGUACUAUUUUGUUGGUUUGCGCACCAAGGUAAUGAUGAACAGGGACAGUUGGGGGUAUUUGUAUUUCGUUGUCAGAGGUGAAAUUCUUAGAUUUACGAAAGACAAACUACUGCGAAAGCAUUUACCAAGGAUGUUUUCAUUG
RNAcentral lists this ribosomal RNA (384 nucleotides) under Chaetoceros sp. RNAcentral's name for it is "partial small subunit ribosomal RNA". It matches the Rfam family "Eukaryotic small subunit ribosomal RNA", at positions 587 to 975 of the family's 1831-position model. The record is from RNAcentral. Lineage: Eukaryota; Bacillariophyta; Thalassiosirophyceae; Chaetocerotales; Chaetocerotaceae.